This 402-nucleotide ribosomal RNA is filed under the name Triticum aestivum (bread wheat). RNAcentral's name for it is "partial small subunit ribosomal RNA". The record is from RNAcentral. Lineage: Eukaryota; Viridiplantae; Streptophyta; Magnoliopsida; Poales; Poaceae.
AUGACGUGCCAGCGCAACAAGACGGAGACAUUACGGCCGGCUGGUCUGCUUCAGUCCUUGGAGGUGCCGUCUCAGGUCUGGGCAGAUAUCUCCAUGGACUUCAUCGAGGGCCUUCCCAAGGUGGGCGGCAAAUCGGUCAUUCUCACGGUGGUCGACCGCUUCUCCAAGUAUGCUCACUUCAUCGCGCUGGGGCGUCCGUAUACCGCCGCGUCCGUGGCUCGUGCCUUCUUCGACGGCAUCGUCCGUCUUCACGGUUUCCCCUCUUCGAUCGUCAGCGAUCGGGACCCGGUGUUCACGGGCCAUGUCUGGCGUGACCUCUUCAGGAUGGCAGGCGUCAAGCUCCGCCUGAGCACGGCCUUCCACCCUCAGACGGACGGCAAUCCGAGGUGGUUAACAAGGUGA